AUAUAAAAUAAAUUUUUUAUGAUUUAUAAAAAUUUUUUAAAAUUUAUUUUACAUAUAAAUUUUAGUGUAAAUUUUUAAAUAUUUUAAGAAUAUUUAAUUUUAUUAAAUUAGUAAUUAAUAUUAAAAAUUUAAGAAAUUAAGAUUUAGUAAUAUUAAAAUUAAUAACAAAUUUUGUGCCAGCAGUUGCGGUUAUACAAAAGUUAAAUUAAAUUUUAUUAGUAAUAAUUAAUAUAAAAUAAUUUAAUUUAAAUAUUAAAUUAAUAAGUGAAAUUUUAAUUUAAUUAAAAAUUAUAAUAAAAAUUGUAUGAUUUAAUAAAUUUUAAUAUAAACUAGGAUUAGAUACCCUAUUAUUAAAAAUUUAAAUUUAAAAUACUAAAAUAGUAAAUAAUUAUUUAUUUAAACUUAAAUAAUUUGGCGGUAUUUUAGUUCAUUUAGAGGAAUCUGUUUAUUAAUUGAUAAUCCACGAAUAAUUUUACUUAGUUUAUAAUUUUGUAUAUCGUUGUUAAAAAAAUAUUUUUAAAUAAAUUUAAUAUUUUAAAAUUUAAAAAGAAAAUUAAAUCAGAUCAAGAUGCAGAUAAUAAUUAAGAAUAUAAUGGAUUACAAUAAAUUUAUUUAUAUGAAUAUUAAAUUGAAAAAUUUAAUUGAAAGUGGAUUUAAAUGUAAUUUUAUUUAAUUUAAUAAAAUGAUUUUAAAUUAAAAUAUGUACAUAUUGCCCGUCGCUUUCAUUAAUAAGUUGAAAUAAGUCGUAACAAAGUAGAGGUACUGGAAAGUGUUUCUAGAAAGAA
This 785-nucleotide non-coding RNA is filed under the name Choristoneura fumiferana (eastern spruce budworm). The record is from RNAcentral. Lineage: Eukaryota; Metazoa; Arthropoda; Insecta; Lepidoptera; Tortricidae.